This 264-nucleotide ribosomal RNA is filed under the name uncultured bacterium. RNAcentral describes it as "partial 16S ribosomal RNA". It matches the Rfam family "Bacterial small subunit ribosomal RNA", at positions 88 to 354 of the family's 1533-position model. The record is from RNAcentral.
CCGGCGACCGGCGCACGGGUGAGUAACACGUAUGCAACCUGCCCGUCUCAGGGGGAUAAUCGUCGGAAACGGCGUCUAAUACCCCGUAUGAAGCUGGACGGCAUCGUCUGGUUUUGAAAGAAUAUCGGAGACGGAUGGGCAUGCGGCGCAUUAGCUAGUUGGCGGGGUAACGGCCCACCAAGGCGACGAUGCGUAGGGGUUCUGAGAGGAAGGUCCCCCACACUGGUACUGAGACACGGACCAGACUCCUACGGAAGGCAGCAG